This 440-nucleotide ribosomal RNA is filed under the name uncultured bacterium. Its description in RNAcentral is "partial 16S ribosomal RNA". It matches the Rfam family "Bacterial small subunit ribosomal RNA", at positions 339 to 795 of the family's 1533-position model. The record is from RNAcentral.
CUACGGGACGCACCAGCAGGGAAUAUUGGACAAUGGGCGAAAGCCUGAUCCAGCAACGCCGCGUGCACGAUGACGGCCUUCGGGUUGUAAAGUGCUUUUAGAGGAGAUGAGAAAGGACAGUAUCCUCUGAAUAAGCCUCGGCGAACUACGUGCCAGCAGCCGCGGUAAAACGUAGGAGGCAAGCGUUAUCCGGAUUUAUUGGGCGUAAAGCGCGUGCAGGCGGUUUGACAAGUUGGAUGUGAAAGCUCCCGGCUUAACUGGGAGAGGUCGUUCAAAACUGUCAGACUAGAGAAUGGGAGAGGGAGGUGGAAUUCCGGGUGUAGUGGUGAAAUGCGUAGAUAUCCGGAGGAACACCAGUGGCGAAAGCGGCCUCCUAGACCAUUUCUGACGCUAAGACGCGAAAGCUAGGGUAGCAAACGGGAUUAGAUACCCGAGUAGUC